This 353-nucleotide ribosomal RNA is filed under the name uncultured Smithella sp. RNAcentral's name for it is "bacterial SSU rRNA". It matches the Rfam family "Bacterial small subunit ribosomal RNA", at positions 1028 to 1382 of the family's 1533-position model. Lineage: Bacteria; Pseudomonadati; Thermodesulfobacteriota; Syntrophia; Syntrophales; Smithellaceae. The record is from RNAcentral.
UCGGAGACAGGUGCUGCAUGGCUGUCGUCAGCUCGUGUCGUGAGAUGUUGGGUUAAGUCCCGCAACGAGCGCAACCCUUGUCUUUAAUUGCCAGCAUUCAGUUGGGCACUUUAAAGAGACUGCCGGUGUUAAGCCGGAGGAAGGUGGGGAUGACGUCAAGUCCUCAUGGCCUUUAUGCCCAGGGCUACACACGUGCUACAAUGGGUGGUACAAAGAGAUGCCAACUCGCGAGAGCGCGCCAAUCUCAGAAAGCCAUCCUCAGUUCGGAUUGGAGUCUGCAACUCGACUCCAUGAAGUUGGAAUCGCUAGUAAUCGCGGAUCAGCACGCCGCGGUGAAUACGUUCCCGGGCCUU